GCCAAUGAACUAGCCCCCCCCCCCAAAAACACACUAACUAAUUUUUUAACCCCAAAUACACCACCUUCCAAUAAGCUAAACCAUUUUCCCCCCUAAGUAUGGGAAACAAAAAAGGACCCCCGGGAGCGAUAAAACAAGUACCGCAAGGGAAAGUUGAAAAAAAAAUGAAAUAGCCCAUAAAGCUGAAAAAAGCAAAAACUAACCCUCGUACCUUUUGCUUCAUGACUUAGCCAGCACCACUCAAGCACAGGGAACUUUAGUUUGACCCCCCGAAACUAGGUGAGCUACUCCAAGUCAGCCAAAAAAAUUUGGGCCAACCCGUCUCUGUGGCAAAAGAGUGGGAAGAAUUUGAGUAGGGGUGACAGACCUAUCAAACCUAAAAAUAGGGGGUUCCUGCUAAAUGAAUAGGAGUUCAGCCUCUUCGCUUCUUAAUUGUUUUCCCCCAUUCCCCCCCCCCCCUUUUUUUACUGUAUACUUAGGUAUACACCCGUAAAACAUGGUAAGAAGCCAAGGGAGUUAAUCAAAGGAGUAACAGCCCCUUUGAAACAAGACACAACUUUCCCAGGCGGUUAAAGAUCAUACAGAACCAAAGUAAAAUGUUUUGGUGGGCCUAAGAGCAGCCACCCCCAUAGAAAGCGUUAAAGCUCAAAUAUAUUUUCUACUACUAAUCCUGAUAACUAAAUCUUACGCCCCUAAAUUCAUCAAGCCGCCCUAUGCAAACAUAGGUGUGACCAUGCUAACAUGAGUAAUUAGGGGGCCCCGGCCCCCUCCCUGCACACGUGUAAACCGGAAUGGACCUUCCACCGGACUUUAACGAACCCAAACAAAGAGGGGACUGAAUAUUAAACUAAACAACUAGAAAAUCAUUCAACCACAACCGUUAACCCUACACAGGCGUGCUCCGCGGAAAGACUAAAAGAAAAAGAAGGAACUCGGCAAACACCUUAAGCCUCGCCUGUUUACCAAAAACACCGCCUCUUGUACUUAAUAAAUAAGAGGUCCCACCUGCCCACUGACUAUAUGUUCAACGGCCGCGGUAUUCUAACCGUGCGAAGGUAGCGCAAUCACUUGUCCUUUAAAUGGAGACCUGUAUGAAUGGCACGACGAGGGCUUAGCUGUCUCCUUUUUCAAGUCAAUGAAAUUGAUCUCCCCGUGCAGAAGCGGGGAUGAGAUCAUAAGACGAGAAGACCCUGUGGAGCUUCAGACUCUAAGACAGCCCAAGUUAUAAAGGCCCCCUGUCAAAGGAUUAAACUUAUUGGCACCUGUCUUGACGUCUUCGGUUGGGGCGACCCCGAGGAAUAGAAAAACCCCCGGGUGGACUGGGGCGCGAGACCCUAAAACCAUGAGCCACCCCUCUAACUAUCAGAACUCCUGACCAAUUAGAUCCGGUAAAACCGAUUAACGGACCAAGUUACCCCAGGGAUAACAGCGCAAUCCCCUUUUAGAGCCCGUAUCGACAAGGGGGCUUACGACCUCGAUGUUGGAUCAGGACAUCCUAAUGGUGUAACCGCUAUUAAUUGAUCUCCCCGUGCAGAAGCGGGGAUGAGAUCAUAAGACGAGAAGACCCUGUGGAGCUUCAGACUCUAAGACAGCCCAAGUUAUAAAGGCCCCCUGUCAAAGGAUUAAACUUAUUGGCACCUGUCUUGACGUCUUCGGUUGGGGCGACCCCGAGGAAUAGAAAAACCCCCGGGUGGACUGGGGC
This 1702-nucleotide ribosomal RNA is filed under the name Uranoscopus tosae. Its description in RNAcentral is "16S ribosomal RNA". It matches the Rfam family "Bacterial large subunit ribosomal RNA", at positions 249 to 2588 of the family's 2925-position model. Lineage: Eukaryota; Metazoa; Chordata; Actinopteri; Uranoscopiformes; Uranoscopidae. The record is from RNAcentral.